AGCAGCCGCGGUAAUUCCAGCUCCAAUAGCGUAUAUUAAAGUUGUUGCAGUUAAAAAGCUCGUAGUUGAAUUUCGGGGUUAGUAGGUUGGUCAUGCCUCUGGUAUGUACUGGUCUCACUGAUUCCUCCUUCCUGAUGAGCCGUAAUGCCAUUAAUUUGGUGUUGCGAGGAAUUUGGACUGUUACUUUGAAAAAUUAGAGUGUUUAAAGCAAGCUAACGCUUGAAUACGUUAGCAUGGAAUAAUGAAAUAGGACGUUCGAUCCUAUUUUGUUGGUUUCUAGGAUUGACGUAAUGAUUAAUAGGGAUAGUUGGGGGCAUUAGUAUUCAAUUGUCAGAGGUGAAAUUCUUGGAUUUAUUGAAGACUUAACUACUGCGAAAGCAUUUGCCAAGGAUGUUUUCAUUAAUCAAGAACGAAAGUUAGGGGAUCGAAGACGAUCAGAUACCGUCGUAGUCUUAACCAUAAACUAUGCCGACUAGGGAUCGGGAUGAUGUUAAUUUUAAUGUACUCAUUCGGCGCCUUA
RNAcentral lists this unclassified non-coding RNA (520 nucleotides) under uncultured Glomus. Its description in RNAcentral is "SSU rRNA". It matches the Rfam family "Eukaryotic small subunit ribosomal RNA", at positions 569 to 1090 of the family's 1831-position model. The record is from RNAcentral. Lineage: Eukaryota; Fungi; Glomeromycota; Glomeromycetes; Glomerales; Glomeraceae.